GUUGCAAUAACCACCUAUGCCCAACAUUAAACAUAACUUCCCCACCCAUCUUUAGAAGUACUUAAAGCCAUUGUGACCCAAGAUGAUAUCAGUCUGUAAGUAUUUGUGGUCUACAUAACAGGUGGAGGAUUGUGAAGUUUAGGAUUGAGGGACAUGAUAGAAAAGAAUUAGGGAAAGAGCCUGGGAAGAUGACAUCCAUUUUGAAGGAGAAAGUGAUUAUUUCUUGUGAAACAGAAGAUAAAAAGGAUAGAAGUAAAUAUAAAGAUAUUUUAAUGUGGAUAGAAUGUGAGAAGGAAUAGGCAAGUGAUGGCUCAGUACUUUCAGUAAAGGGAGAAAUAAGAGGGGAAUUUUAAGUUAUCUUCAUGAAAAGGGAGGGAUAAGGUUAGUUCUGAUAUGAAGAGCUCCAGUGGGGCGAGAGGAGUGAAUAAAAGACUAACAAAAAAAGUAGGGAAAUAGGUCAUUUCAACAGUUCAACAAAUUUCUCUGAGUACUACUAUGUUACAAUACUGUGUAGGCACAGGGUCAGAGAAGAUAUAAUCCCUUUCCUUGUGGUUGUCCCUCUAAAUGGGAAAGCCACCACCAGGGCCCUGUUGAAAGGAUAUGAACAUUAACAUUAGCAUAAUCACACGAUGAUCUUUAGCAAUGCUUGCUGGACUCUGCAGGACAGGAGGUGGAUUGGGGGCUGUGAAGAUUCAGAUUUACUAACAACCUGAUAAGAAUAUUCAAGGCACCACUGGUGAACAUGAUGUCCACACUAGGAAAAGAGAUAUGUAAGGUAAGGGAAAGCACUGCUCCUGUAGGGAGGGAGUACUGUGGGCAUCAGGAAAGGCAGUGCCAACUUUAAGGGAGCCCUCAAGUGAUCCUUCAAGUGAUAAGAGGCCUCCCAGUUAAGUCCUAUUGGUGGGUCACUGAGACAGUGAGGAGGGACAUGGAUGAGUAAAAAGUGUUAUAAAGAUGUAAUAAGGGCUUGUGCAUGUCAUAAUAUGAUUAAACAAAUAGGAAGUAUACAGGAGUUAUGAGGAGUUGGAUCCCCACAAAUCUAAGAAAGACCAAGUCAUAUAAGGUCCAGCUCAUCCAGGAAAGUCUCGAAGUACAGGGAUUCUGAUCCUGAAAUCAUCUCCGUUUACCUUGGUUUAUCUUUUUGAGACGCUUAGUUGCUUCUGAGAGGACUUGCUAUGAAGAUUCCUUUCCUUUUUUUAGCUCUUCUUUUCUUUGGCCUGUUAUCUGCCUCAGGAACUGAAGAUGAUUAUAUGGUCACUAGCUUCCUGGACUGUAAAAAUCAAACAUUGUGUAGUUCUCCAAAUGAAAAUGGAAACUGUUCUGAUGUUAACAAGGAGGUUGGAAUAUGUGUCUUGCGUUUUAGAAAAAAUGCAAAGCAACCAACCAUAAAGAAAUAGAACAUUAGGAAGACAGGACAAUCAACACCCUUGUCUUAUCAGAAAAUAAAGUCUGUUUUCUCUC
Molecule: long non-coding RNA, 1461 nt
Organism: Neofelis nebulosa (Clouded leopard)
Lineage: Eukaryota; Metazoa; Chordata; Mammalia; Carnivora; Felidae
Exons: 2
Source: RefSeq, a predicted model, not a curated record